RNAcentral lists this non-coding RNA (103 nucleotides) under Nitrosomonas sp. RNAcentral's name for it is "Glycine sequence". It matches the Rfam family "Glycine riboswitch aptamer". From Rfam's summary of the family: This family represents the bacterial glycine riboswitch. Glycine riboswitches usually consist of two metabolite-binding aptamers domains with similar structures in tandem. The aptamers cooperatively bind glycine to regulate the expression of downstream genes. Lineage: Bacteria; Pseudomonadati; Pseudomonadota; Betaproteobacteria; Nitrosomonadales; Nitrosomonadaceae. The record is from RNAcentral.
GACAGGCAAUCUGGAGAGUGCCGAGAAAUUAUUUUUGGCCACCGAAGGGGCACGCGGAUAGCAAUCUGUAAAUCUCUCAGGUAAAAAGGACAGAGGGGCGCGA